CGCACAAAAUAUUUCCCAAAAAUAUUUGGUUACAUGUUUACCCUAACUUUCCCGCUUAUCUCUCUUCCCUUCUCCGGUUUCUCUCCUUCCCCUCUCUGGUUUCUCAACACUCACUACACACAUCACACUGUCGUUCCCCCAUCAUCGCGUAGCUACUGCUGUUCCUCCACCGCGUCGCCGCUGUUGUUCCCCCACCGACGCGUCGUAUCUGUUCCCCCACCUCCGCGCUGUUUUUGUCCCCCUCUUUUUGGAUUGAUUAAUUUUGUUUGAGCUUUUUUGCAGCUAUUGUCAUUGAUAAUUGUAUAACUUUUCUCUAUCAUAUUAUAGAUCUAUUUGGGUUUAAAAAAUAAAUUUGGGUUUUAUGAUUUAGUGUUUUUACUAGUUUAUUCUUGAUUUUCUUAUGGGUCAUGUUUGAUGUUUUGAUUUAGGUACUGAAUGUCAAGAUAAUUAAACUAGGGAAUACUGAGUGCGAUGUUUCCUGAGGUUCGAAAGCUUCCCCAAUGGUUCUUCAGUUUCCAGCGAUUUUUUUGUGUAGAUUCUCGAUGUAUUGUCCUCUAUUGGGCUAGCUCGGAGUCGUCGAUACAUUUUAUCGAUGGAUGGGUUUGACCAGACAGUGAACAUUAAGGUUAUCAUGGGCCUCAUGGCAAGUAAUCGAGUUGAUUCUCUUGAUCCUGCAUUGCUACAACUUGGAAGGCUAGACAUGAAAAUUGAGUUUCCUUUGCCUGAUAGACGAUAAAAGCAACUUGUUUUUCAGGUCUGUAUUGCGAAGAUGAACUUGAGGGAUGAGCUUGUCUUGGAGGAUUAUGUUUCACGGUCAUACAAAAUUAGUGUUUCCGAGGUACUCAACAAUUCGAGUGAGCAGCCUUGCACCACUAAGGAGAUGAAUGAAGUUCGAGACAAGUUGGCAAACUUCAUUACUAGUUAUUGUCUUUGAUAUUUUGAACAUUUUUUUUUCUUGUAAUGAAUCUUAGAUUAUGGAUGCUAUUUUUUCAAAUGAUUGUAAUAUUAUCGACAUAUAGAUUUAUAAUGUAUAGUUUUUAUUUUAAUUAUCUAUAUAAUUGAAUACUUUUGUGAUAUA
Molecule: long non-coding RNA, 1078 nt
Organism: Spinacia oleracea (spinach)
Lineage: Eukaryota; Viridiplantae; Streptophyta; Magnoliopsida; Caryophyllales; Amaranthaceae
Exons: 4
Source: RefSeq, a predicted model, not a curated record